Molecule: ribosomal RNA, 632 nt
Filed under: uncultured Agaricales
Lineage: Eukaryota; Fungi; Basidiomycota; Agaricomycetes; Agaricales
Description: eukaryotic LSU rRNA
Rfam family: 5.8S ribosomal RNA (bases 244-397)
Source: RNAcentral
GAUCAUUAAUGAACUUGGUUGGGUUGUUGCUGGCUCUCUGGAGCAUGUGCACGCCUACUCCAUUUCAACCACCUGUGCACCUUUUGUAGACAUGGACAACUCUCGAGAAAGUUUUUCUCGGAUUUAGAAAAUUGCUGUGUGAAAGCCAGCUUCUUCUUAUGUUCCUAGUCUAUGUUUUUUCAUAUACCCUAUAAAAUGUAAUAGAAUGUUGCUAUAGGCUUUUUGUGCCUUUAAAAACAAUACAACUUUCAACAACGGAUCUCUUGGCUCUCGCAUCGAUGAAGAACGCAGCGAAAUGCGAUAAGUAAUGUGAAUUGCAGAAUUCAGUGAAUCAUCGAAUCUUUGAACGCACCUUGCGCUCCUUGGUAUUCCGAGGAGCAUGCCUGUUUGAGUGUCAUGAAAUUCUCAACCUCUCUGGCUUGUAUAAGCUGGGGUUAGGUUUGGAUUGUGGGAGUUUGCUGGCUUUUCAAGUCAGCUCUCCUCAAAUGCAUUAGCGAGAUCAUGUGCUGGUUUUCUCGUGGUAUGAUAAUUAUCUAUACUACUGAGAAUCAGAUUCCUUUAUAGGAAGAUUUUGCUUCUAAUAAUCUCAAUUUGAGAUAGCAAUGACCAUUUUUAACCUCAAAUCAGGUAGG